AACGGAGGUCCCUAGCGUUGUUCGGAAUUAUUGGGCUUAAAGCGCGUGUAGGCGGAGCGGUAAGUACCUUGUGAAAGCCCCGGCCUCAAUCCGGGAAUAGCUUGGUAUACUGCCGUUCUUGAGGCAGGUAGGGGUCACUGGAACCUUAGGUGGAGCGGUGAAAUGCGUAGAUAUCUAAGGGAACGCCUGUGGCGAAAGCGGGUGACUGGGCCUGUCCUGACGCUGAGACGCGAAAGCGUAGGGAGCAAACGGG
RNAcentral lists this ribosomal RNA (253 nucleotides) under uncultured bacterium. RNAcentral describes it as "partial 16S ribosomal RNA". It matches the Rfam family "Bacterial small subunit ribosomal RNA", at positions 524 to 776 of the family's 1533-position model. The record is from RNAcentral.